UACGUAGGGAGCGAGCGUUGUCCGGAAUUACUGGGUGUAAAGGGAGUGUAGGCGGGAUGGUAAGUUAGGUGUGAAAUGCGGAGGCUCAACCUCCGAGCUGCACUUAAAACUGCUGUUCUUGAGUGAAGUAGAGGUUGGCGGAAUUCCCAGUGUAGCGGUGAAAUGCGUAGAUAUUGGGAGGAACAUCAGUGGCGAAGGCGGCCAACUGGGCUUUUACUGACGCUGAGGCUCGAAAGCGUG
RNAcentral lists this ribosomal RNA (240 nucleotides) under uncultured bacterium. RNAcentral's name for it is "partial 16S ribosomal RNA". It matches the Rfam family "Bacterial small subunit ribosomal RNA", at positions 524 to 763 of the family's 1533-position model. The record is from RNAcentral.